RNAcentral lists this long non-coding RNA (628 nucleotides) under Homo sapiens (human). RNAcentral's name for it is "non-protein coding lnc-SELE-1:2". The record is from RNAcentral. Lineage: Eukaryota; Metazoa; Chordata; Mammalia; Primates; Hominidae.
GACGCCUGCCACAAACUAAAGGCAGCCCUCUGUUACACACUUCUUGCCAGCCCUGGUCAUGCAGUGGCCAUGGAGAAUGUGUAGAAAUCAUCAAUAAUUACACCUGCAACUGUGAUGUGGGGUACUAUGGGCCCCAGUGUCAGUUUUGAUUCAGUGUGAGCCUUUGGAGGCCCCAGAGCUGGGUACCAUGGACUGUACUCACCCUUUGGGAAACUUCAGCUUCAGCUCACAGUGUGCCUUCAGCUGCUCUGAAGGAACAAACUUAACUGGGAUUGAAGAAACCACCUGUGGACCAUUUGGAAACUGGUCAUCUCCAGAACCAACCUGUCAAUGAUUCAGUGUGAGCCUCUAUCAGCACCAGAUUUGGGGAUCAUGAACUGUAGCCAUCCCCUGGCCAGCUUCAGCUUUACCUCUGCAUGUACCUUCAUCUGCUCAGAAGGAACUGAGUUAAUUGGGAAGAAGAAAACCAUUUGUGAAUCAUCUGGAAUCUGGUCAAAUCCUAGUCCAAUAUGUCAAAAUUGGACAAAAGUUUCUCAAUGAUUAAGGAGGGUGAUUAUAACCCCCUCUUCAUUCCAGUGGCAGUCAUGGUUACUGCAUUCUCUGGGUUGGCAUUUAUCAUUUGGCUGGC